CUCGGUCCAAUUAGAGGAAGUAAAAGUCGUAACAAGGUCUCCGUUGGUGAACCAGCGGAGGGAUCAUUACCGAGUUUACAACUCCCAAACCCAAUGUGAACGUUACCAAACUGUUGCCUCGGCGGGAUCUCUGCCCCGGGUGCGUCGCAGCCCCGGACCAAGGCGCCCGCCGGAGGACCAACCAAAACUCUUAUUGUAUACCCCCUCGCGGGUUUUUUUUAUAAUCUGAGCCUUCUCGGCGCCUCUCGUAGGCGUUUCGAAAAUGAAUCAAAACUUUCAACAACGGAUCUCUUGGUUCUGGCAUCGAUGAAGAACGCAGCGAAAUGCGAUAAGUAAUGUGAAUUGCAGAAUUCAGUGAAUCAUCGAAUCUUUGAACGCACAUUGCGCCCGCCAGUAUUCUGGCGGGCAUGCCUGUCCGAGCGUCAUUUCAACCCUCGAACCCCUCCGGGGGGUCGGCGUUGGGGAUCGGCCCUGCCUUGGCGGUGGCCGUCUCCGAAAUACAGUGGCGGUCUCGCCGCAGCCUCUCCUGCGCAGUAGUUUGCACACUCGCAUCGGGAGCGCGGCGCGUCCACAGCCGUUAAACACCCAACUUCUGAAAUGUUGACCUCGGAUCAGGUAGGAAUACCCGCUGAACUUAAGCAUAUCAAUAAGCGGAGGA
Molecule: ribosomal RNA, 658 nt
Filed under: Trichoderma harzianum
Lineage: Eukaryota; Fungi; Ascomycota; Sordariomycetes; Hypocreales; Hypocreaceae
Description: eukaryotic LSU rRNA
Rfam family: 5.8S ribosomal RNA (bases 272-425)
Source: RNAcentral